This 253-nucleotide unclassified non-coding RNA is filed under the name uncultured Xylariales. Its description in RNAcentral is "sequence contains 5.8S rRNA gene, ITS2, 28S rRNA gene". Lineage: Eukaryota; Fungi; Ascomycota; Sordariomycetes; Xylariales. The record is from RNAcentral.
AACGCACAUUGCGCCCAUUAGUAUUCUAGUGGGCAUGCCUGUUCGAGCGUCAUUAAGUCCAUUAAGCCUAGUUGCUUAGCGUUGGGAGCAUUACCGCACGGUAACUCCUUAAAGUCAGUGGCAGGGUUACGGUACACUCUAAGCGUAGUAGAUUUCUUUUCUCGCUUCUGAUGUGGCCGCGGCCGUUGCCAUAAACCUCUAUACUUCUUAGUUGGUUGACCUCGGAUCAGGUAGGAAUACCCGCUGAACUUAA